Long non-coding RNA from Salvia splendens (bonfire salvia), 883 nucleotides. RefSeq lists it as uncharacterized. Lineage: Eukaryota; Viridiplantae; Streptophyta; Magnoliopsida; Lamiales; Lamiaceae. The record is from RefSeq and is a predicted model, not a curated record. The transcript has 4 exons.
GAUCAAGAAGUUCAAAGAUUCAGUUGAACUCAUUAGCUGUCUGAAGUAGUUAUAACUGAUUGUGUGAAGUCUUUUUCACUUAGUUUUAGCUUCCUAUCUUUGUAUAUAUAGAGGAAGUUAGUUUGAUAGAAGGGUGAUCAAUUCUUGUUUGUAAAAUCUCUCUGCACAUUCGAAUAAAAAUAGUUUCCAAUCAAAAGGGUUUCUUCUAUCGUUCUUCAUUCUAGUUCAUGCGUGUGAGUUUUCAGUAUACAUUUAAUAUAUCACAACAGAGCUUGAUCAUGGAUGAUGUGAAGGUGAAGCUCUGCUUUGUCUCCCUCAAGAUUGCGCGGUGGGGAAUUUUCCUUGACGAAUGAGCUGUUCCUUGUCCCAUAGAUGAUAACUCGACCAGCUGAUUUGGGAAUGAACAAGGCAGGACUCGCGGAAUGCAUUGUUCGAGCUGUCAAUUCGUGUCAUCCUCAUCUACACCCCGUGUUAUAUGAGAGGACAUGGAGGCGUACAAAUCGAAAUCCACGGAGAACACGUCACCGCUAAUGAAGAGUAACAUCGAUGGUACCAGAGUCGAACCGAGGUAUACCCUUGAACUUAAGUGUAGAAGGGACUAGACAUGGAUUUGUCUCCCCAGUGGAUAUGAUGAUUGUGAUUUCUUACUUUAAAUGAAGAAAUUAUUGAGAUACUUAUGGUUGUGUUUGAGAAGUGCAAAUGUCCUAUGUUGAUAUUUCAGGGAAUGAAGUGACAACUCUGGAUUUUGAAUUAUCAUAUAGUGUCUACUGCUAUAGUCUUCUCACUAUUAAUUUUUAGGGACUACUAUUAUUUUUCUUGUCCGUUUACAGACUGUUUGUAACAAUAAUAUGUUACCUAACUAAAUUCUGGAUAUGAUACUGAU